GGCUGGGUGCGUGAGUGGUUGAAACGGGCUGCCUGAUAAGCAGCUGUACCGGAAACGGUACCGGGGGUUCGAAUCCCCCUCCAAUUC
This 87-nucleotide transfer RNA is filed under the name Oxalobacteraceae bacterium. RNAcentral's name for it is "tRNA-Ile". It matches the Rfam family "tRNA". From Rfam's summary of the family: Transfer RNA (tRNA) molecules are approximately 80 nucleotides in length. Their secondary structure includes four short double-helical elements and three loops (D, anti-codon, and T loops). Lineage: Bacteria; Pseudomonadati; Pseudomonadota; Betaproteobacteria; Burkholderiales; Oxalobacteraceae. The record is from RNAcentral.